UUUCAACCCUGUACAGCAAUCUUUAAUACACGCUAAAGUCUGGAGGACAGAUACUUCCUUUUCCAGAUAAACUUACAGAUCCAGAUGAAGGUACCCCAAGCAGCUUGAGAUGUGAUGAUGGAGACCAGUUUGAGAAGACCCAUCAUCUCUGAUUUCCCUCUGAUUAUGAAGUAAUACAACAAAGCUACAGAUCUCACUCUGUCACUCAGGCUGGAAUGC
Molecule: long non-coding RNA, 219 nt
Filed under: Homo sapiens (human)
Lineage: Eukaryota; Metazoa; Chordata; Mammalia; Primates; Hominidae
Description: HSALNT0323236
Source: RNAcentral